AUAGUAGUAUAAAUUUCACUGUUUGUUUCACUAAGUUGGAUUUCAUUGAUUGCUUUGCCGAUUCAUGCAGGAAUUUAUUGUGCUAAUAUUGCAAGUGCUGGCUGGACCUUCGCUGAAGGCGUCUUCCUUGCUUGAAUUGAUAAAUUUGUAGCAAAUGAAAGGAACAUUCCGCUCAAUGGUCUGGUGAUGGGCACUCAUGGUUGAGGAAGCUUUCAGCGAUUCCACAACCACACAAGUAAUGAAAUUGCCACAGCUUUCACCAAACAACAAGUACUACGAGCCCAGGCAGUUUGAGUCGACUAAGUGUCUAAGUCUAUGUGUUGUUAUUGAACACUUCAUUGACGGGGACAGAAGUUAACUACAUAUUCCAAGAUGCACUAGGCCCCCUCAGGAAAAAAUACUCCAUACGUUUCAUCAGAUGAGUCAGCUGCUAUCACUGUUUCUUCGUUUCCUUUAUGGUGACCAUAUUGGUCAAACUACUCUCAGUAAUGAGCAACUAAUAGAGUUGUUAAUCAUGGCUGGCCGGUUUGAGGUCGAACAACUUAGUUCCGGCUUGAAGAUAUCCUCGGAGGUGAAGUUUCUAGGCCUGAGCUUUUGCGGUUAGCCCUGGCGGCUGACUGUGACAUUAAUAGAGCCGUCAACUAUUACCUUGCGCAGCCGGAUCCUAGCACAGACUAAGAGGGUAAAGACUACGAUCGGGGAUAGGGCUGAGAGGAAUGCUUGAAGCUAUGCUCGUCCUAUGCCGUAUGGUGGCGCGUCGAGCACACAAAACGAAAGCCAUUAUUUUUCCUCUUUCCCUACUGAUUUGAGUCUUCACACACCGUAAGUUUAUAAUUAAACCAUUAACAUUUCAAUAGUGAUGUUUUGUGUAAAUAUAGCUUAGAAAUCCCCCAUGUUGUGUGAAUUUUUUUAAAUUUCUAUGUGAUCUCUAGACACAAUCUAUAAAUUCCUUUAUUAAACCCCCUUUUUGCCCAU
RNAcentral lists this long non-coding RNA (975 nucleotides) under Daphnia pulicaria. RNAcentral's name for it is "uncharacterized LOC124329267, transcript variant X1". Lineage: Eukaryota; Metazoa; Arthropoda; Branchiopoda; Diplostraca; Daphniidae. The record is from RNAcentral.